GAUGAACGCUGGCGGCGUGCCUAAUACAUGCCAGUCGAGCGAACAGACGAGGAGCUUGCUCCACUGACGUUAGCGGCGGACGGGUGAGUAACACGUGGAUAACCUACCUAUAAGACUGGGAUAACUUCGGGAAACCGGAGCUAAUACCGGAUAAUAUAUUGAACCGCAUGGUUCAAUAGUGAAAGACGGUUUUGCUGUCACUUAUAGAUGGAUCCGCGCCGCAUUAGCUAGUUGGUAAGGUAACGGCUUACCAAGGCAACGAUGCGUAGCCGACCUGAGAGGGUGGUCGGCCACACUGGAACUGAGACACGGUCCAGACUCCUACGGGCGGCAGCAUUAGGGACUCUUCCGCAAUGGGCGGAAGCCUGACGGAGCAACGCCGCGUGAGUGAUGAAGAUCUUCGGAUCGUAAAACUCUGUUAUUAGAGAAGAUCAAAUGUGUCAGUAACUAUGCACGUCUUGACGGUACCUAAUCAGAAAGCCACGGCUAACUACGUG
RNAcentral lists this ribosomal RNA (497 nucleotides) under uncultured bacterium. Its description in RNAcentral is "partial 16S ribosomal RNA". It matches the Rfam family "Bacterial small subunit ribosomal RNA", at positions 28 to 507 of the family's 1533-position model. The record is from RNAcentral.